This 277-nucleotide ribosomal RNA is filed under the name uncultured prokaryote. Its description in RNAcentral is "partial 16S ribosomal RNA". It matches the Rfam family "Bacterial small subunit ribosomal RNA", at positions 524 to 800 of the family's 1533-position model. The record is from RNAcentral.
UACGUAGGGGGCGAGCGUUGUCCGGAUUUACUGGGCGUAAAGGGUGAGUAGGCGGUUAUAUAUGUCAGGUGUAAAAGGCUAUGGCUUAACCAUGGUUAGCACUUGAAACUGUAUGACUUGAGUGCAGGAGAGGUAAGUGGAAUUCCUAGUGUAGCGGUGAAAUGCGUAGAUAUUAGGAGGAACACCAGUGGCGAAGGCGACUUACUGGACUGUAACUGACGCUGAGUCACGAAAGCGUGGGUAGCAAAACAGGAUUAGAUACCCGGGUAGUCCCUGA